GCACCCGUAGCUCAGCUGGAUAGAGCGUUGGUUUCCGGUACCAAAGGUCGUGCGUUCGAAUCGCGCCGGGUGUACCA
This 77-nucleotide transfer RNA is filed under the name Acidobacteriota bacterium. RNAcentral describes it as "tRNA-Arg". It matches the Rfam family "tRNA". Rfam says of the family: Transfer RNA (tRNA) molecules are approximately 80 nucleotides in length. Their secondary structure includes four short double-helical elements and three loops (D, anti-codon, and T loops). Lineage: Bacteria; Pseudomonadati; Acidobacteriota. RNAcentral also lists the same sequence under 2 other names. The record is from RNAcentral.